UAUUGGUGGAUGCAUGGUUGAGACCUUC
Molecule: non-coding RNA, 28 nt
Filed under: Homo sapiens (human)
Lineage: Eukaryota; Metazoa; Chordata; Mammalia; Primates; Hominidae
Source: RNAcentral